CUGUGGGCAUCUUUUGCAAAAAAAAAAAAAAAGAAAAAAAAAAGAUAGGAUUGCUCAUAGAUGAGACUAAAGCAGAGAUUCCAAAGCACAGCUGACAAAUGCUGGUCCCAGAUGUCAGCUGGCUUUGGGAAAGAAAACAAAACCAAAGGAGGAGCUUUGACUAACUGCAGGUACAGUAUAGGUUAUAGAACGUGUAGGUUUCAAAA
Long non-coding RNA from Oxyura jamaicensis (ruddy duck), 206 nucleotides. RefSeq lists it as uncharacterized. NCBI's taxonomy places the organism in Eukaryota, Metazoa, Chordata, Aves, Anseriformes, Anatidae. The transcript is spliced from 3 exons. The record is from RefSeq and is a predicted model, not a curated record.